RNAcentral lists this transfer RNA (61 nucleotides) under Octostigma sinensis. RNAcentral's name for it is "tRNA-Cys". Lineage: Eukaryota; Metazoa; Arthropoda; Diplura; Rhabdura; Octostigmatidae. The record is from RNAcentral.
GAUCUUAUAGUUUAUUUAAAAUUUUAAAUUGCAAGUUUAAAGAAGCCUAGUGUUAAGAUUU